This is a small nuclear RNA of Bison bison bison, 104 nucleotides long. The record is from Ensembl. Lineage: Eukaryota; Metazoa; Chordata; Mammalia; Artiodactyla; Bovidae.
GUGCUCAUUUCAAUAGCAUAUAUACUAAUAUUUGAAUGAUACAGAGAUUAACAUGGCCCCUGAACAAGGAUGACAUGCAAAUUCAUGAAGUGUUCCAUAUUUUU